UGCACCCAGGUUCACUGAAGCAUGGGCCUCUUCCAGAUAUUUGUCUUUUGUCUAUGUUGUAUGCAAGAUAAAACGCACCCAGCUUCGCUGACAAAUGGGUCCGAUAGCAAGAGCACAAUCUUGUGAGUGACCUCGCAGCAAGUGCAGCUUACCAAAUUUUCAUUUCACGCCUAGGAACUUGAAAGUGGGAUCUUCAAAUUCUGUAUUCCCUCGCCUCCC
RNAcentral lists this long non-coding RNA (219 nucleotides) under Setaria viridis. Its description in RNAcentral is "long non-coding RNA (SVIR_LNC003002)". The record is from RNAcentral. Lineage: Eukaryota; Viridiplantae; Streptophyta; Magnoliopsida; Poales; Poaceae.